This 21-nucleotide non-coding RNA is filed under the name Caenorhabditis elegans. The record is from RNAcentral. Lineage: Eukaryota; Metazoa; Nematoda; Chromadorea; Rhabditida; Rhabditidae.
UUUUUAUUAAAAGCAGAAACU